GCUGGAGUGGCUCAGUUGGUAGAGCAGCUGAUUCGUAAUCAGCAGGUCGUCGGUUCAAGUCCGAUCUCCAGCUCCA
This 76-nucleotide transfer RNA is filed under the name Bacillota bacterium. RNAcentral's name for it is "Firmicutes bacterium (gut metagenome) tRNA-Thr". It matches the Rfam family "tRNA". Rfam says of the family: Transfer RNA (tRNA) molecules are approximately 80 nucleotides in length. The record is from RNAcentral. RNAcentral also lists the same sequence under 3 other names. Lineage: Bacteria; Bacillati; Bacillota.